AUGGGCGCAAGCAAGGCGAGCUUCUGGGAGCCAGCCUGGCUUGAUGAGCUUAGACCUAAGCACAUUGCACCACUAAUUUUUGACAUCUCCAGAAGCAAAAGGUGGAGUGUAAGGAAGGCAAUUCAGAAUGGUGCUUGGGUGGACAAAAUUCGGUUCUCAAAUGGCCUAACAGUGGCGCACAUCCAAGAAUUCAUCUCGCUUUGGACUCUGGUGACCCAGGUGCAACUACAAGACAACCACCCCGACACCAUCACUUGCAAGCUCACCACCUCAGGGCAUUAUUCGGCGGCCACUGCAUACAAGGCGCAGUUUUGCGGCAUCAUGGCUUCUAGCUUCAAGAACACGAUUUGGAAGAACUGGGCACCGCCAAAAUGCAAGUUCUUUGCCUGGUUGAUCACUCAGAACCGGGUAUGGACGGCCGACCGCCUUGCUGAACAUGGUUGGCCAAAUUGUAGGAAUAUUAGUUUCACUGAAUUAACUAAUAAAAACAUUAGUAUAGCACUUGGUGUCGUCUUAUGGCAAUACAUAUCACUAGUUCUUGGUAGAGCUACAAUGAUUUAUACAAAACGAUAA
This 573-nucleotide ribosomal RNA is filed under the name Triticum aestivum (bread wheat). RNAcentral describes it as "partial small subunit ribosomal RNA". The record is from RNAcentral. Lineage: Eukaryota; Viridiplantae; Streptophyta; Magnoliopsida; Poales; Poaceae.